RNAcentral lists this small RNA (42 nucleotides) under Arabidopsis thaliana (thale cress). RNAcentral's name for it is "ATSL122420". The record is from RNAcentral. Lineage: Eukaryota; Viridiplantae; Streptophyta; Magnoliopsida; Brassicales; Brassicaceae.
UUGGAAAUAUCAUCGUCGAUGAACUGCAGACUGAUCCUCGUA